CGCGCCACCACCCUUGACGGGUCGCCACCGUCGGCGCACAGCCAGUCCAGUCGCCACCAUCAGCAUGCCACCCCUCCGAUGGCUCCACCGUCGACUCCCCCCCAAACCCGUCGCUCCCCAGCCAACGUUCCACAAACUAGACGACCAACCAACCCAGAUCGGAUCUGGGCGAACACCGACCAACCAGUAGAGAUCGACCCGCCAAUCCGAUCCCCGCCAACCCAGCGCCAACAAGCCGGAUCCUAGUCGCCGACCUGCAAGGACUGAACCAGAACCGCCUGGCAGCCCCGCACUCCUCGACCACCAACCACCGAUCCAUACGAUCCAAAGCAAGGCCAUCCCGAUCCGAAGAGCCCCGAUCACCUAGCGACAUAUCCCGUCCGACGACAGCGUCCGUGGACGCGCCGUCGGACG
Molecule: long non-coding RNA, 414 nt
Filed under: Rosa chinensis
Lineage: Eukaryota; Viridiplantae; Streptophyta; Magnoliopsida; Rosales; Rosaceae
Description: sRNA RchiOBHm_Chr7g0237671
Source: RNAcentral